Molecule: ribosomal RNA, 372 nt
Filed under: uncultured organism
Description: partial 16S ribosomal RNA
Rfam family: Bacterial small subunit ribosomal RNA
Source: RNAcentral
GUAGGUGGCAAGCGUUGUCCGGAAUUAUUGGGCGUAAAGCGCGCGCAGGCGGUUCUUUAAGUCUGAUGUGAAAGCCCACGGGCUCAACCGUGGAGGGUCAUUGGAAACUGGAGAACUUGAGUACAGAAGAGGAAAGCGGAAUUCCACGUGUAGCGGUGAAAUGCGUAGAGAUGUGGAGGAACACCAGUGGCGAAGGCGGCUUUCUGGUCUGUAACUGACGCUGAGGCGCGAAAGCGUGGGGAGCAAACAGGAUUAGAUACCCUGGUAGUCCACGCCGUAAACGAUGAGUGCUAGGUGUUAGGGGGUUUCCGCCCCUUAGUGCUGCAGCUAACGCAUUAAGCACUCCGCCUGGGGAGUACGGCCGCAAGGCUG